This 71-nucleotide transfer RNA is filed under the name Omphalius rusticus. RNAcentral's name for it is "tRNA-Pro". The record is from RNAcentral. Lineage: Eukaryota; Metazoa; Mollusca; Gastropoda; Trochida; Tegulidae.
UCGAGGCAGUAGUUUAAUUAAAAUACUGGCAUUGGAAGCCAGAGAUUAGGUGAAGAUUCCUAUUCCUUGAA